This 466-nucleotide ribosomal RNA is filed under the name uncultured bacterium. RNAcentral's name for it is "partial 16S ribosomal RNA". It matches the Rfam family "Bacterial small subunit ribosomal RNA", at positions 28 to 507 of the family's 1533-position model. The record is from RNAcentral.
GACGAACGCUGGCGGCGCGCCUAACACAUGCAAGUCGAACGAGCGAGAGAGAGCUUGCUUUCUCGAGCGAGUGGCGAACGGGUGAGUAACGCGUGAGGAACCUGCCUCAAAGAGGGGGACAACAGUUGGAAACGUCUGCUAAUACCGCAUAAGCCCACGGCUCGGCAUCGAGCAGGGGGAAAAGGAGCAAUCCGCUUUGAGAUGGCCUCGCGUCCGAUUAGCUAGUUGGUGGGGUAACGGCCCACCAAGGCGACGAUCGGUAGCCGGACUGAGAGGUUGAACGGCCACAUUGGGACUGAGACACGGCCCAGACUCCUACGGGAGGCAGCAGUGGGGAAUAUUGCACAAUGGGGGAAACCCUGAUGCAGCGACGCCGCGUGGAGGAAGAAGGUCUUCGGAUUGUAAACUCCUGUUGUUGGGGAAGAUAAUGACGGUACCCAACAAGGAAGUGACGGCUAACUACGUG